AUACGGAGGAUCCGAGCGCUAUCCGGAUUUAUUGGGUUUAAAGGGUGCGCAGGCGGCCAUUUAAGUCAGCGGUUAAAUCGUGGGGCUCAACCCCAUUCUGCCGUUGAUACUGGGUGGCUUGAUUGCGGUCGAGGUUGGCGGAAUUCGUUGUGUAGCGGUGAAAUGCAUAGAUAUGACGAAGAACACCGAUUGCGUAGGCAGCUGACCAGACCGCAAAUGACGCUCAUGCACGAAAGUGCGGGGAUCGAACAGGAUUAGAUACCCUGGUAGUCCGCACAGUAAACGAUGAAUACUUGUUUUCGGCGAUAUAAUGUCGGAGGCAAAGCGAAAGCGAUAAGUAUUCCACCUGGGGAGUACGCCGGCAACGGUGAAACUCAAAGGAAUUGACGGGG
This 392-nucleotide ribosomal RNA is filed under the name uncultured bacterium. Its description in RNAcentral is "partial 16S ribosomal RNA". It matches the Rfam family "Bacterial small subunit ribosomal RNA", at positions 523 to 918 of the family's 1533-position model. The record is from RNAcentral.